CGGGCGAAGCCUGAUGAGCGACGCCGCGUGAGGAAGGACGGCCUUCGGGUUGUAAACCUCUUUCAGCAGGGAAGAAGCGAAAGUGACGGUACCUGCAGAAAAAGCGCCGGCUAACUACGUGCCAGCAGCCGCGGUAAUACGUAGGGCGCAAGCGUUGUCCGGAAUUAUUGGGCGUAAAGAGCUCGUAGGCGGCUUGUCACGUCGGUUGUGAAAGCCCGGGGCUUAACCCCGGGUCUGCAGUCGAUACGGGCAGGCUAGAGUUCGGUAGGGGAGAUCGGAAUUCCUGGUGUAGCGGUGAAAUGCGCAGAUAUCAGGAGGAACACCGGUGGCGAAGGCGGAUCUCUGGGCCGAUACUGACGCUGAGGAGCGAAAGCGUGGGGAGCGAACAGGAUUAGAUACCCUGGUAGUCCACGCCGUAAACGGUGGGCACUAGGUGUGGGCAACAUUCCACGUUGUCCGUGCCGCAGCUAACGCAUUAAGUGCCCCGCCUGGGGAGUACGGCCGCAAGGCUAAAACUCAAAGGAAUUGACGGGGGCCCGCACAAGCGGCGGAGCAUGUGGCUUAAUUCGACGCAACGCGAAGAACCUUACCAAGGCUUGACAUACACCGGAAAGCAUCAGAGAUGGUGCCCCCCUUGUGGUCGGUGUACAGGUGGUGCAUGGCUGUCGUCAGCUCGUGUCGUGAGAUGUUGGGUUAAGUCCCGCAACGAGCGCAACCCUUGUCCCGUGUUGCCAGCAAGCCCUUCGGGGUGUUGGGGACUCACGGGAGACCGCCGGGGUCAACUCGGAGGAAGGUGGGGACGACGUCAAGUCAUCAUGCCCCUUAUGUCUUGGCUGCACACGUGCUACAAUGCCCGGUACAAUGAGCUGCGAUACCGCAAGGUGAGCGAAUCUCAAAAAGCCGGUCUCAGUUCGGAUUGGGUCUGCAACUCGACCCAUGAAGUCGGAGUCGCUAGUAAUCGCAGAUCAGCAUUGCUGCGGUGAAUACGUUCCCGGGCCUUGUACACAU
This 1008-nucleotide ribosomal RNA is filed under the name Strongyloides stercoralis. Its description in RNAcentral is "bacterial SSU rRNA". It matches the Rfam family "Bacterial small subunit ribosomal RNA", at positions 372 to 1390 of the family's 1533-position model. Lineage: Eukaryota; Metazoa; Nematoda; Chromadorea; Rhabditida; Strongyloididae. The record is from RNAcentral.